CGGAGGGAGAUAAUCGGAGCACCAACCUGCUGGCUGCAGAGACUGCAAGUCUGGAAGAGCAGCUGCAAGGAUGGGGAGAAGUGAUGCUGAUGGCUGAUAAAGUCCUCAGAUGGGAAAGAGCCUGGUUUCCACCUGCCGUCAUGGGUGUGGUUUCUUUGGUGUUUCUGACUAUCUACUAUCUAGAUCCAUCUGUUCUGUCCGGUGUUUCCUGUUUUGUUAUGUUUUUGUGCUUGGCUGACUACCUUGUUCCCAUUCUAGCUCCUAGAAUUUUUGGCUCCAAUAAAUGGACCACUGAGCAACAGCAAAGAUUCCAUGAAAUUUGUAGCAAUCUGGUAAAAACUCGACGCAGAGCUGUGGGCUGGUGGAAACGCCUCUUUACACUAAAGGAAGAAAAGCCUAAAAUGUACUUCAUGACCAUGAUCGUUUCUCUUGCUGCGGUUGCUUGGGUGGGACAGCAAGUCCACAACCUGCUGCUCACCUACCUGAUAGUGACUUUCUUACUGUUGCUUCCUGGAUUAAACCAGCAUGGAAUCAUUUUGAAGUACAUUGGAAUGGCCAAAAGGGAGAUAAAUAAGCUCCUCAAACAAAAAGAAAAGAAAAAUGAAUAAUGCAUCUGCUUUAUUCAGUGUAAUGAAUGGCAUAUACAUUGUCCUUGGGAACAGUUUCUGUUAUGCUGUCUGGAUACUAAAAUGUUACAGAAGUAGCUCUUUGCUCUCCCUCUUUUGCCCUUAGUGCACAGAAAUUCAGACUUGCCAAGUAAGGCUUUAUGCAUAGUGUCUUCAUGUGAAGUGUAGCUGGAUGCAUUCUCAUCAGUUGGCCUAUAUGGACAACUCAUUCGUGAGUACGACUUGUUUUGAUUUUUCUCCACCCAGGUUAAUUGCAUUCUUACUUUUAGGCAACUUCCUUUAAAAUAAUAUAGUGGUGAACUUCACCUUUUAGUACAGUUAACUGUGACUUUGGAUAAUUAAUUGUUCCAGUUGAUCUUUGCUUUAGCUAGAUACAAGUUAGUGGUCUGUGGCUACAGGAAGCUGGUUCUACUGUCUGCUUCCACAGUCUGCUUAAACUGCCUGGCUUCAUGAAUACAGAGACCAAGUUGACCACUUCCAAUGAAGAGACCAAUUAAGAUUCAUUCCUCAUGCUGUUUCUAUACAAUGGGAGAAGAAUCCUCUGGAAUAAAAUGAAACCAAUUCCA
Molecule: non-coding RNA, 1192 nt
Organism: Callorhinus ursinus (northern fur seal)
Lineage: Eukaryota; Metazoa; Chordata; Mammalia; Carnivora; Otariidae
Source: RefSeq, a predicted model, not a curated record